GUUGGCGACGGCGAUAGGGCCUUCAAAUUUCGCCCAUUUGGCAGGAAUUGGAUGGUGAAUUUGGUGUGGCAACUGCUGGAGAGGCAGCUCUAUCGGAGGCGUGGCAGUGGCUGCUCUGGACCUGUGCGGUGGAUUGUCAGGAGCGUCGUCAAUAAACCCUAAAAUGUCGUCCAAUUGGCAUCAAAUGUGUGGUGUUGAUGACGGGGCAGCUGCUGGAGGGGUAGAUCUGUCGGAGGCGUGGCAGGUACGUGUGAUUAUUUGGUUGCUCUGGACCUGGGCGGUGAAUUGUCAGGAGAGUCGUCAAUAUAUUCUAAGAAUGUCGUCAAAUUAGCAG
Molecule: long non-coding RNA, 334 nt
Organism: Drosophila miranda
Lineage: Eukaryota; Metazoa; Arthropoda; Insecta; Diptera; Drosophilidae
Exons: 3
Source: RefSeq, a predicted model, not a curated record